CCCAACAUAACUUAUCACAACAUAACUUAUACCGGCAUAAACCCUAUUCCACCCGAACUACCCCUAAGGGUAUAAUUAUUCAUAUCUUAUAAAUCUUCCCAACUAGAAAAUCCAGUUUGCUAAAGGUUCAGUUAAUAACAAACUUGCAUAUGCCUUCACACAUAAAUCUAAGAAAGCCUCUCUGAAGCUUGAACUGAGAAAUAUAAUUAAUUACUCCGUACAGUAAGAUCUUGAUAGGUGGACUAGCUUAUACUUGAAAAACACGAGACAGAUAAUAUUCUCAUAGUAGUGGUGGGCCAGGUGAUCUCACAUGACCUGCAGAAGUUUUCAGUCAUUAGUUGGGAUAUGCAUGUGAUUGCAGCAACUGCUCAAAUCAAGAAAGAAAGGGUCAUCCAGAAUGGCGUGACGGACGACGGAGGAACAAAGAGAAAAGAAAUGCAAAAGAAUCAAAUUAGGCCUUGAACAUUUCGCCUAUGAUAAAAGAGUAUUAAUAAUUUGAGUAGCAACAUAUAUAUAGCAGGCAUACAUGGUCUAAUUAACCUCCUUUACUUUUAAUCGUCGUUUGACUUGAAUACAAGCUAUGCUUAGUAUUAGGUAGGCUGAAAUUAGUAAUGUUGGGAUUAAUUAUUCUGAUACGAUUUUUAUUGACUGUUUGGUAUGUUAUAUUAAUUAUGGAAUUGUCAAUUUUACCGUUUUAUCAUGUGAUAACUUAUUCUGGAAUUAUUAUUCCAUCUGACGGGUAUAAGUUAACCCGAUACUAUUUUUAAUCCUGGAGUAUCUGUUGCCAGACAAGCCAACAUUAGAAUAGUUUUUAACCAUUUUAAACAAUUCAUAUUAAAUAAUAACUCAGCAACUGAAAUAACUAAAAUAGAAUGAGGAAAAACGUAAUAACAGCGAUAUCUAGAUACAAUCUCAGAACUGGUGUCACAAGUGCACGAGUGACUAGAAUAAUACAAACAAUGGUCUGAAUGAAAGUAAAACUGUCUGAGCAGUUGUAUCUCAAGUCUCUGUCAGACAAUCAAUCUAAGCAAUCUACUGACCGCCGUUGAGACCGGCCUCAAUAUCCGCACUAGAAGUGUAGAGUGUAGUAUGAGUACAACCUAUCUCAUAUACUUUAUAAGUGCUGAGCCUAAACUCGACGAAGUGGUGUCGUGGCUAAGGCGGGUCAUUUACAAUAAGCUGCACAUAGUAUAACAAUAAUAACAAGAAAGGAAAUGUAGAACGAUAAGGCAGUUAACUGAUGAAAAUAAACUCAAUUCUUGAAAUCGGUAGCACCAGAAACAUCGUGCCUCAGUACCUCGUAUGGCAACACUAAAAGGUAACACAAUGCAACAAUGAAUAUAAAACACAUAAUCCGUUGCGGCGCAGAACCCGAUCCCACCGUACAAACACAAUCCUCCAUUAUUCCACCAUAUAAGUAUAAAUAAUAACAAGUAAAAUCCGUUGCAGCGCGCAACCCGAUCCCACCAUAUAAUUAGAAUCAAUAUCAUAAUCCUCCCUUAUUUCACCAUAUCAAUAUCACAUAUAAAAUCUGUUGCAGCGUGCAACCCGAUCCGGCCAUAUCAAUAUCAAUCUUCCCUUGUUCCACCCGUUGCGACGUGCAACCCGAUCCAUAAACAAAAUUAAUAAAUGUAAUCAACUCAACAACUUAAUUCACAAGAAUCUCUGCGAUUAAAGAAUUAUGAGAGCAAAACCAUAAAGGAAUCUCAUACCGAGUCAAGAAAUGCUACAAUUAAUACAAUACAACAAGACAAGCCAAAUAUAUGACAAUUAAAGUAUAUAAGUAAGACAAUUAAGGCAAGUAGUAGGUAAUCGUGGAGCAUGGAAGAAACGAGCAUUUCAAUAUAAGGGAAAAUAGUGACAAGUAACAAGUUAAGUCAUAGGAAGCAAUUAAGACAUAUAAUAGUUAAGAUAGGUUACAAAAAAAUUAAUAAAAUACGGAAAACAUGAAAAUAACUACUUCGGCGGUGUAUAUACACUUGUCACCUCGCAUAUACGCUGCUACACAUGUAAAUUACAUAACAUAUAGUUCAAGGGAUCCUAAUGCACUCAAAUCAAGGUUAGACUCAACACUUACUUCGCUCCGCAAGAAAUCAAAGCUCAACUGGGGCCUUUUCUCUUAAAUUCACCUUUGAACCAACCAAUUCUAAUCAAAAUCGGCUUAAUAUCAACAAACAAUGCAAGAAAAAUUAAUUACAAUACGUAAAGCUAAGAUCUUUACACUUUUUCAAAAGAUUAAACAAAAGUUAACCCCGGGCCAGUUUGGUCAAAACUCGAAAUUCAAAUCAAAACCCAAUUAUCCAUUCACUACAACCCCGAUUUUGCAAUUAGUUUCAAAAUCCGACCUCGAUUUGAGGUCUAAAUCUCAAUUUUACAAAAACAUCCAAUUCUUCCCAAAUUCCUAAUUUUCUACCCUAAAAAAGCAUAGAUUAAAGUUAGAAAUCAAUGGUUGUUGAUGGAAAUGGAAGAAAAGGAGUUAACCUAUAUGAACCUAUGAAUUGGUAAUGAAUUUUCUCUUCAAAAUCGCCUCUAGGCUGAGCUCUAAUGAAAAGAUGGUAAAAAAUGGGUGAAAUCUCGUGUUUGAGAUAUUUUAAAGUUUGGGAAUUAGGUGUUCAUCGCGUUCGUGAGACACCUGAUGUGAUCACGAAGCAGCAGUGGCCAAAGGCCUACGCGUUCGCGAGGGGAUUCACGCGUUUGUGAUAUUCUUUCCCCUCUGGCCAUCGCAUUCACGAGCCUUGGCUCGCAUUCGCGUAAAGCAAACCCUCUAUCCCCCUCCUAGGUUCCUUACUCUUCGCAUUCGCGAAGGGUGAUCCCACCAUAGCUUCGCAUUUGCGUACAGAGCCUAGCGUUCACAUAGAAAAAAACCUCCCUAGCCCAGAUUACUCUUCGCGAUCGCGAAGAAGGACACACCAUAUAUUAGCAGUAGCACCCAAAACCAACAAAUUCUUCUAAGUUCAAAUGGUUCAUAUCCUAUCUGAAACUCAUCCGAGCCCCUCGAGCUCCAAACCAAGCGUGCACACAAGUGUAAUAACAUCAUACGAACUCACUCGCGCGAUCAAAACACCAAAAUAACACCUAGAACCACAGAUUAGACAUUAAAAUGUAUGAAAUUUUUAAUGAAACUUAAGAACUUUCAAAUUCACAACCGAGCGUCUGAAUCAUGUCAAAUCAACUCUGUUUUGAACCAAAUUAUUUGGAUAAGUCAAUAAUAGUAAACUGAACCUAUACAUGACCGAAGAUAGAGUGAGCUAUCAGGAAGAGAAGGGGGAUGUUAGUUAUAUAAGUAUAGCGCAUGUACUACAUGUGCUAUACCUGACCGACUUUUCAGGUUUAGGUAUAGCGCAUGUAAUGUAUGUGCUAUACUUAGUGUUUCAAAAUAAUAAACAUAGCGUGCGGUAUAUCUUAACGGCCUCAUUAAGGUAUAGCACAAAUAUUAUAUGCGCUAUACAUAGAAUUAUAUUCAAAAUAUUUUUUCGCCUAUUUUUGUCUCAAAAGGCAACCUUUUGAUUCCGUACAGAGCUGAAAUACCUAUGCUUUUCUAAUGGAAUUAGGAAACCCCUUUCCAAAACAUGAAAAGUGGAGGUAAUGGUUCAUGUCCUCCACCUAUACAUUCUUACAUAUUGGUCAGAGAAAAGCAUCCUCUGGUAGGAAUAAGUAAACUUCUAUAUCAAUAACCAUUUUGUCUUAGUGAUAAGACAUAUUGGUUAUUAAUAUAGAUGGUUGCUUAGCUUGUUCCCAACCCCAAAGGCUGCUUUUGUUUAAUAAAAACAAUACCUUAGACUGAAAUGUAAUCACAUGGUAUGUCUACUUGUAAUUACAAGAUUAUCCUAAAAACGUUUAAUAAUUAAAUCGACGUACGCUAAGAUCCAAAAAACUCAGGCGUGUUAGGUUCGUGUGCGUUGAUACUUUUUCUGUUAUGGAGAAACGGUACGAUUAGAAGAGUAUAUUAUAUGAUAGUGGCAGGCUGUUAGGCAACUCUCUUGUCUGUAUCUUAGUUUAUCCAUGACCUCAUCUCGCACGUACUCAUAAACCACUUUUGAAUUAUAGGGUUUUAUCAAAACAAGCGGUUUUUGUUGCUCGCGCUGACCAUAAAUUUCUAACCAAGCAAGGACCGUCAUCAGACACCAUCGUGUAAGCACCCCCUCUCGUAACUAUGCAAUUAAUUUUUCCAUUUAACCAAUAAACAAUUAGAAAUUGGUUCAGUUAUCUCUCGUAAACAGGUGACAUUGAAGCAUUCGAAGCCAAUUUAGUUUGGUUCGUGUGCAGAAGCUGUACGUUGUAGCAGUGAAGUAUGGCAAGAGGAAAGAUCGCGAUCAGAAGAAUUGAGAAUCCGGCAAGCAGGCAGGUGACCUUCUCAAAACGGAAAAGCGGAUUAAUUAAGAAAGCCAAGGAACUAGCCAUCCUUUGCGACGCUGAAGUUUUAGUAACCAUCUUUUCCAGUACUGGUCGCCUCUAUGAAUACUCAAGCUCCAGGUUCUUAUUCUUUCCUUCUUAUUAACCAUACAAAAUAUUGAUUUGAAUCUUAGUCUACUCUUCUACGUCUUAAUUAUGUUUAAUUUUCGGUCGCGGAAAUAAAUAGCAUCUUCUUUAAUUUGAGUGACGGCUGAGACAUUUUAUGCUCAGUUAGAACAAAAGUAAUUAUAUACUAACAAUUAGGAGAAUUUAACUCAUUAUCCUUGGAGCUAGGUGAAAAUAAUACCCGUCAAUCAUAAUUAAGCAACAGUUAACAAAUCUUUCUAAUUGGUCCUUCGGCCUGCAGGGCACUAGACGAAUAUAAAUGAUGUAGUAUGAAUUAGGAUGAGAAUCAAUAUGAGCGUGUUGGAAAAUUUGGGGAGACUAUUAGAAGCACAUUAAGGAAAGUGUUUUUACUUAUUUUCUCAACUUGGCUUUAAUAAAAUGACCAUUGGUACCUAUUUACUUAUCAACACUGUUCUAACGUGCACCUUUUUUUCCAAACACAUGUAUAGAAUCAUGUAUGCAUUCUUAUAUUAAUAUUCUAAUAUACGAACAAAGUAAAUACAUAUACUGGAGAUGAAUCGAGGUAGUCAUACCUUUUAAAUAGCUUGGUGAAGAUACACAUAACUUGGCCUUAUGACGUCACAAACUCGAGCUCAACUUCUUUCUUGAAUCUUCCCUAACUCAUCAUAUCUUUACGGCCUCUUUGAUGCAACCACACCGUUCAUCUUUCUACUUCAAGAAAGCUUUGGUUCAACCGAUUUUUGUUUCAGCUUCCUCCAAUCCUCUUCAUAGAUGACUUGCGAAAAUCCGACAAGUGGCCAUGGAGUCUAAGUCCUUGGACUCUUGAUCACUAGCGACAACAACAUAAGUAAAUAGAAUCGUAAAAGUUUUGCAAUGACCCUGUCGAAAUUGGAGCUAAGAUAACAAACCAACCUCCAUUGUUGGCUGACCUUGAGCUCGCAUAGAGAGAAGAAAGGAAGAUUCUAGAGAGAUGAUGAAAAUGGGGAAAACUUAUGUAUAUUUUCAUUAACUAACUUGAGUACUAUGCACGUGUAAGAAAAAGAAAAACUAAUAACGUGUAACAGGUGUAUGACAGCUAAUUACUAGACUACCCUUGCAACUAACUCAACUCCUAAGAUAACCAACUGACUAACUAACUCAAUUAACAAAUAAAUACAAGGCAACAAUAUACUACAACUCUAUAAUCUCAAUAUCCCCCCCCCCCCCCCCCAAGUUGGAGGUGAGGAACUCACUGCCAACUUGUGAAGAAGAUUCGAAUGCUUGAUCCCUGUGAGAGCCUUUGUUAAAAUGCCAGCUAGCUGAUCAUGAGUAGAAAUAUGAUUAAGUGUAAUCAGACCAUUAUGCAGUUUGUCUCUCAUAGAGUGGCAAUCGACUUCUAUAUGCUUUGUCCUCUCAUUGAACAUAUGGCUCCUAGCAAUGUGGAUAGCUGCCUGGCUAUCACAAAAAACUGGAAUAGGAUGAGUACAUGGAACUGUUAGUCCUUCCAACAAUCUCUGCACUCAUACCAAUUCUCCAACCACCUUUCUCAAGGAUCUGUACUCUGCUUCUGCAGAAGACAAUGAGACAGUAGUUUGCUUCUUUGAUUUCCAGCUAAUAGGACUGCCUCCAACGAGUACAAGAUACCCACUUACAGAUCUACUUGAAUCAGGGCAAGCUGCCCAAUCUGAGUCAUAAUAAGCUGUGACUUUGUAAGAGGGAUCAUUAGACAGAAAAGUGCCUAGAGUAGAAUCAUUCUUCAGGUACCUGAGUACAUGUACAACAUCCUUAAGGUGGGGCUCUCUUUGUGCCUGCAUAAAUUGGCUUGAGUGUUGUACAUUGUAUGCAAUAUCCAGCCUUGUGUUUGUGAGGAAGUUGAGCUUCCCAACUAGUUUUCUAUAAUAAGAUGGAUCAUAAAGCAAAGUACCUUCUUCAGUCUUUAGUUUGGUUGAUGAAUCUAGAGGAGAUGAAAAAACAAAAUACCCCAGACAAUCAUACUCUUUCAAUAGGUCAGUGGUGAACUUCCUUUGGGGGAUCAACACUCCAUCAUCCUUAUAGAGAAUCUCUAGCCCCAAAAAGUAGUGUAACUUGCUUAAGUUUUUUAUUCUGAACUGAUUAUGCAAGUAAGUCUUCAGUGUUUUAAUUUCCUCAAGGUCGGUCCCAGUGAGGAUCACAUCAUCAACAUAUAUAGCUACAAAUAUAGAUGAAUCACCUUGCUUUUAUAAAACAAGGAGUAAUCAUUGUUUGAAUGUCUAAAACCUCUAGAAUACAAGGACUCUAUCAACUUAACAUACCAUUGUCUACUUGCUUGUUUAAGUCCAUACAGAGACUUCCUUAGUCUGCACACAAGCUGUGUGUUUUCUACCAUUAGGCCUUGUGGGAUUUCCAUAUAUACUUCUUCAUGUAGGUCCCCAUAGAGGAAUGCAUUAUUCAUAUCCAGCUGAUAAAGAUCCCAUCCUUUCUUUAUUGCAGUACUGAUCAGGGCUCUAACAGUGGUCAUCUUAACCACUAGAGAAAAAGUUUCUGUAGUCAAUCCCAGCUUCCUGUGUAUAUCCCUUCAUUACCAGAAGUCUUGCUUUGUACGUUUCCACACUUCCAUUUGCUUUGUGUUUUAUUUUGUCACCCACUUGAAUCCUAUGGUUUUCUUUCCUAUAGGCAACUUAACUAGAUCCCAAGUAUGGUUAGCAUAUAAAGCUUCAAAUUCUUGUGUCAUUGCUACUUUCCAGGCAGGAUUCAAAGUUGCCUCCUCAUAAGAGUAUUGUUUACACUCAUGUGAAAUGUUCUUAACUAGUUGCUGGCUGUCAUGGCUCAAUGUAUUGAAUGACACAUAAUGGUUAUUGGAGAAAAAAGCAGUAAGUGAAGUUGAGACUGAUUGAUGUUAAAGGUUUGUAUUGUUGCUUAAGUGAUUGUUUGAUUGUAGAUUGGGUAGUGUAUAGACAUAGUCCUUGAGGUGUGAAGGUAUGCUGAGUGUUCUGCUUGAUCUUCUAUGUUGUGUGUUAUUUGGUUGAUUAACAUUGAGUUCUAUGUUGUGUGGUACUUGAUUGAAGGAUGUUGUGUGAUACUCUGAAUGGCCUUCAGGUGAAACAUUUAGUUCUGGAUCUGGGCUCAUAUGUGCAAUGUGGUAUGGUGUGUUUGUAGGGUGGCAAUUAAUUAGUGCCUGGUGAGUGAGGGCCUUCAGAUAUAAGACUGUUAGUGACAGAAGUUGAUGCAUUUCUAUCAUGAUUAUAAUGAUCAUCAGGUGUAAUCACAGUAGAAUUGGGAUAUGGAGAAUUGUGGUUUAUCAUAUGCAAUACAGAAGGGAAAAAAGAAUGUUCAGGUGAAAUGGAAAAAGGAAAAACAUCUUCAUGAAACACAACAUCUCUAGACACAUGUACCCUCUUUGCGGCUAAAUCAAUGACCUUAUAUCCUUUGAUCCCAAAAGGAUAUCCUACAAACACAUGGGGUGUCAUGACCCAUUUUCUGAACAAGCCGGGACCGACACUCGAUUACUAAAUAUGACCGAGCGAACCAUCUCUGCUUAUCAAAUUUAUUAUAACUCCAAACUUUAUAUGCAACAAGGCAAUACUCUAACCAAAUACUUUUGAUUAAUUUAAAUAUUUAACCAAAACAACUCCAAAACUUUAUUCGUAGUAACUACUGAAUUACUGCUAAGUUAUAAUCAAAAACAUCUGAAUCUUAACCCAACGACUAUGUCUAUGAAGCCUCCACUGAUAAACUGACGCACUGCUCAGGACAUGAGAUUUUCUGGCCAGUUCUCUAAGUAAACAAAGAAAUAACUAAAUAAAGAUAACUCUACGGAAUACUCCACGAACAAAAGCGGAGCUCACCAAUAGCACUGGAAGAGAAAGAAGUCCCAACCAGUAGCCUGCUCGCCUGCAAAUCUGGUUCCUACAUGGUACCGCAGACCAACGUAGGUUCCCAAAAGAGAACGUCAAUACCAUCCAUUGUACUCAGUGAGUCUCAACAACAGGGGGCAAAACUUUAAUAACAUAUACAUUACGAGCAAAGGUUCUAAUGCAUGUAAAAUAUAAAGCUUAUAAGAAUAAUUCUAAAAUAAUUGCAUAAUAGCAGUUUAUGAAUAUUCUAAAAGAAAUUCUUUUCUUUUUCUUUCUUAUAAAAAAAAUACUUCACUUUAUACUUUGGGAGUUCCAAAUAUCCUGACUUAAUUUUGUCUCAGUCAUCGUGUGAUCGGCACGGGUUCGAUCCCAACCUGAUCGAAUAGGCCCAAUCCACGAGGUGUCACUCGCUUCAUGGUUCUCAGCGCUCAUGUAUCAUACCUUAGCAUUGCUAAGUAAUUUCUCAGCAACGAGACCCUCGGCUCAUGUUCUCCCUACUUUGGCACAAGUAGUUUCAGGAAGUCAAUGCCUUGGUCAGGACCCUUGGCAUGGACGAUGACCCCUUCUCAGAAUAAAGGAUACUCCCAAAAAUCUUUUUUUUCUACUUCUUCUUAUGACUUUUCGAGUCUAAAUCUUUUCUUUUUAGAAUAUCAUGUACAUGCUCGGGCUGGUAUCCUUAAAUAUAAAGCAUGACAUAAGAAUGAAAUAAACAUCUAAAAGUAUUUCUAAAGAUUCUUGCUUCUUCAUAAAUUUUCAACAUGAAAAUAGCAUAAAAGAAUAACACAUUAUAUGCUGAUUUUGACACCCAUAAAUUAACAUCUGACCAAUUACAAAAAGCGAAAGAAGCAUAUUCCAAGAAUCUUACGUAUCAAAAUUAAUUUUAAAUAAUAAAAUAUUACUUUCUUACAUUAGUAAAGACAAUACUAUUCAACAUUAUAGAAAGAAAUUAAAGGUGAUAACGUGAACUUUUUGUUGGCUUGUUCCCAUCUUUAAUUAGUGCUAAAUUUAUUCUCCAUAUAGCAAAUUUAGCUAUUGGAGAUAUUUUACUGGAAGUUGAUAAUAAGGUCUCCAACUAGCUGGAAUUAUAAUCUAGUAUUAAUGUUCUUGUUGACCAAUUUUAGAAUACAGAAAUCCGUAACGAUAGUUCAAUUGUUGUUUAAGGUUUUACACGGUUAAUUAAAGAUUGUUAUUAAAAGAUUGCUUGACUAGUUAGAAACAUUUAUUUGAUUCUUUCUAGACUUUUGAAAAUAAUAAAUUUGUGCACAUAUAUCAUAAUAAAUUAUCUAAACUUUUGCUAGAAAAAUUCUAAAUUAAUAGGUACUCACUCGCUCCAAUUAAGCAAAUAUAAACUCUUUUAAGCAAUUCGUCAAACACCUUGUAUACGUGCUUUUGUGAAUUAAACCACUUUAGUAAAGGAUUAUAUUAACUCACCUCAAAACUUCUCGAGCCAAUACGUAGGCCCCAGUUCAAUUGACACCAGUCAAACAAUUGGUUUUACAACAGUGCAUUUUAAUCAAUUUUAAAGUACUACACCUAAAUAUGAAAUUUAUUGUUGAUAUAGAGGAAGAAGGGAAUUCACUAUUCAAUUCUUACCUAUUACUACUGUAGGGUUAUUGAUAAUAUGGGAUUUUACAUACCUGAGUUCAAGAAUUAAUGAUUUGUAAGAAACCCUAGAUUUUUUUCGUUGCCUGCGUGAGUUUCCUAGCUCUCUGUUUCGUGAGUUUGCUCUAAGGCUUUUGCAAUA
This 10035-nucleotide long non-coding RNA is filed under the name Nicotiana tabacum (common tobacco). RNAcentral describes it as "long non-coding RNA (NTAB_LNC017487)". Lineage: Eukaryota; Viridiplantae; Streptophyta; Magnoliopsida; Solanales; Solanaceae. The record is from RNAcentral.